Molecule: long non-coding RNA, 675 nt
Filed under: Papio anubis (olive baboon)
Lineage: Eukaryota; Metazoa; Chordata; Mammalia; Primates; Cercopithecidae
Description: lncRNA (ENSPANG00000044592.1)
Source: RNAcentral
UAGAGUUCCAAGCCAGUGGUUCUUAUUCUGCAAGGUGUCAUGGAAGUGGGACCUACAGACUGUUGCUGCUCAGCCCUCUGGAUUCAGCCCCUUUCUUACAGGUCCCAUGGUGGAUGGUGCUGGUAGCAGAACCAAGGCCAAAUUGGGCUGUAAGCAAGUCCACAGGGGGAUGGCGCUGUUUCUGCAUCUGUAGCUGGGGUCAUGGUCAAUGAGUGUACCACCUGGGCAUAGACCUGCAUUCUCAAAAUGGCCCUCCUCAGUAUUACAGCCUCCUACUUGGACCCCAAAGCUCCCAUAAAGAUCUACCCUUCUCUCUUCGAUGCCCUGUUCUGGGACUGCAGAGGCUGACUCAUGGAUUUCACUGAUGAGCUGUCUUGCUAUUCAGGUUCCAGGUGGAUUUGGCUGAUGGAAGGAGAGGGAAUCAAGCUCCUGAGUCUUCAGUCUUCCCUUAAGGAGGAGAAAGAAGAGACCAGGAAUGGCCAUGAUGGUGAUGUCAAUGUGGGGUGCUGCUGGGUAAAAAUAUAUAAGAGAAAGUUGGGGGUCUUUGUCCGGAGACCUUCAAUCUGGGCUCCCAGAAGACGGCUUGAAUAAAGACAGCCCAGACGUCUUCAAAGAGCUCAUCCUGCUCCUUCCUGCUCAAGAGGCUGACAAAGACAGUGCUUGAUGAAGGCCAUC